UGAACCACGGAUCAGCAAGCCAAACUUCUGAUGACUGAGAUACUGUUAAAGACUGAGAAAAAGCAACUUAAUAAGCCAAGAAAACACCAGUAGAAAAAUACAGGACCCCCCGUUAUUUCCGCUGAGGCUGAGAUAAAAGGGCUGUUGGUGAAGAAGCAAUCCAUAUCUGGUGGGGGGGAUUUUUCAAUAUCCCAUGGAAUUGGUAAGGUACAUUUUUGUGUUCAUUACUACAGAUAAAGACAUGUCUCACUCACCCUGCUGGUGAGUCCACCAACAUGGACAGAAAGUUUGGUCCAGAUUUCUGUCAAGACCAGCUACUAGCCACCUCCUCAAAUGCUUAAAUUUGCAGGCAGAGAUACUAAUAAGAACUUCAGCAGUAGCUUAUGGUAUUUAUGCAUUCUGAGUCCUAGAUAUUGAAAAAGUGUGAAAUAAGAGGUUACUUCUUUACCCUCUUCUAUUUAUGCAGACCCGCAUGCACAUAAUUCAGUCAGAGGGAAGAUAUGAGCAACUAUACUGGAAGACACUGUCAUGCAUCUGCCUCUUCUAAUGUGUUUGCCCAUCCUGAACAUGUGGGAUCUUCUGUACCUCAGAGAACCAGAAGAGCCUUUAGAGUGAAAGGAAGCAUUUCUCCCUUUUUUUUUCUUUUUUUUUUAUUACUAGCUGGGGUAACAGCUGGCAUGAAGUUUCCUUCCACAGAAGAUAGAAGAGCCUGGAACAAAUUGCCCACCAAUGACUGAGCAAU
Molecule: long non-coding RNA, 742 nt
Organism: Strigops habroptila (Kakapo)
Lineage: Eukaryota; Metazoa; Chordata; Aves; Psittaciformes; Psittacidae
Exons: 3
Source: RefSeq, a predicted model, not a curated record